This 190-nucleotide small RNA is filed under the name Streptomyces griseoaurantiacus. RNAcentral describes it as "c-di-AMP sequence". It matches the Rfam family "c-di-AMP riboswitch aptamer (ydaO/yuaA leader)". Rfam says of the family: This family represents a conserved RNA structure found upstream of the ydaO and yuaA genes in Bacillus subtilis and related genes in other bacteria. RNAcentral also lists the same sequence under 1 other name. Lineage: Bacteria; Bacillati; Actinomycetota; Actinomycetes; Kitasatosporales; Streptomycetaceae. The record is from RNAcentral.
UCGCGUCAAGCGCCGUAGGCAGGAGCGGGGGACCCAGGUAAGUGCCGGGCCCGGCAGCCGGACCACCACGUGGUCCCGGACGGCCGGACACGGCUUGGGGUGAAGUCGUGCGCCACAAGCGGCGCGCGACCGGGCAACUCAACCGGCCCGAACCCGACAGCUCACCUCGCAGGCGUCGGUGAGGGGAUCU